UACGAAGGGGGCUAGCGUUGCUCGGAAUCACUGGGCGUAAAGCGCACGUAGGCGGCUUUUUAAGUCAGGGGUGAAAUCCUGGAGCUCAACUCCAGAACUGCCUUUGAUACUGAGAAGCUUGAGUCCGGGAGAGGUGAGUGGAACUGCGAGUGUAGAGGUGAAAUUCGUAGAUAUCCGCAAGAACACCAGUGGCGAAGGCGGCUCACUGGCCCGGUACUGACGCUGAGGUGCGAAAGCGUGGGGAGCAAACAGG
Molecule: ribosomal RNA, 253 nt
Filed under: uncultured bacterium
Lineage: Bacteria
Description: partial 16S ribosomal RNA
Rfam family: Bacterial small subunit ribosomal RNA
Source: RNAcentral